CUAGUAUUUUUAAAAAUUCAUGAUAUAUUGAAGGGUAAAAUUGUGAAGUCAUAUUUUAUCUUAAAUUAAAUGAAACGAAAAUAAAAUAACUCAUUUAACCCUUUCUCCACUAAUCUAUCAAUUCAAUUCUCUUCUUCCCUAAUCGGAAUAAUCCCUCAUCGGCCAUCACCGACCACAACUACCACCAUCAGUCCAACACCAACUUUCAUCACUAUCACCACCAUCAAUAGCAAUCCACCGCACACAGCACCAUCCCUAUCAGUCGAGCUAGCACUACCACUCAACCCACCACCACCACCCAUCACACCCAAUCAUCCCCCACCACAAACAAAUAAACCAUAACCCACCGCAAACGAAACAACCGAACUCCACCACAGCACCAAAGAUAAAAGAUGAAUCAACCAUCGUCCACCACCACCACCUCAAAAUAACAUCUCUAAUUAAACAUUCAAAGAUAAAAGAACACUUUAAAUGCAGAUCUGGAGAAAAAGAAGAAAGAUUUGAAUAAAAAAAGUAGAUCGGAUGAAGAGAUCUAGAAAGAGACGACAUGGUAUGUUGAACAAGAUAACUGAAAUUUUAAAUCCACCAUCAUAAAGUUCGAUUCUAUCUCCACCUCAUAAUUAAAAUUUCGGCGACCUUCUC
This 642-nucleotide long non-coding RNA is filed under the name Panax ginseng (ginseng). RNAcentral's name for it is "long non-coding RNA (PGIN_LNC013442)". Lineage: Eukaryota; Viridiplantae; Streptophyta; Magnoliopsida; Apiales; Araliaceae. The record is from RNAcentral.